GGUCCGAUGGUGUAGUUGGUUAUCACUUCUGUCUAACAUCUGCGUGCGUUACGUAAUGUGCACAGGCGGUCCUCAGUUCGAACCUGGGUCGGAUCA
Non-coding RNA from Mycena olivaceomarginata, 96 nucleotides. NCBI's taxonomy places the organism in Eukaryota, Fungi, Basidiomycota, Agaricomycetes, Agaricales, Mycenaceae. The record is from the annotation of a GenBank genome assembly.